GGAGGCUUGGGCUACGGCCCUUGACCUUUCUGGAGGAGUCCAGAGUCCCUCCGUGGUUCUGCCCGUUGAGCACCAACGCGAGACAGGCUCAGCUGGGGUUGGGCCUGGGGAGCGGCAGCCGUCUGGAGACGUUCCAUCAGCCUGUUCAGCGUGUUUGGAUCUCCAGGCUUCUAGAAGGAGGAUGAGCAUGGCGGAGGGGAGCACCGGUGGGGAAGAGGGCAGGCGCGGCACUAUCGGCAAGCGGCGAUGGUGUGACGUGGACGAGGAGGAUAGUGCCGUAGCCUGCAGUGUGGGACAGGGACAACCAAAGAAGCGGCGCACGACCUGAAAGAGAGUCCCUGCCCCAUAAUGCCCCACCAAUGCUUCUUCAAACACUGCAAGACCAUCCCCCUCCGCCCGUCAGCCAUCCAGCAAUGCAGCUCAUCAACCCAUCCAUCACCUCUCGCAACCCAGCCAAACCAUCCACAACUCAUACCACCAAUCCAGCCUCCAAACCUUCCAACCAUACCAACCAUGCAACCUCCCUGCAAGAAACCACCCCUCGUAAGUGCCUCGAUUGUACCUCCUCAAUUGCGCCUCCACGAUUGCACCUCCUCAAUGUCCUUGAUAGUUCAAGCCUCAAGCAGUCCAUGUUACAGAACAACACAAUGAUGCCCUGUCUGUGUGAAGAAUAAAUUUAGAAUGAA
This is a long non-coding RNA of Mya arenaria, 686 nucleotides long. RefSeq lists it as uncharacterized. Lineage: Eukaryota; Metazoa; Mollusca; Bivalvia; Myida; Myidae. The record is from RefSeq and is a predicted model, not a curated record. The transcript is spliced from 4 exons.